Molecule: ribosomal RNA, 443 nt
Filed under: uncultured bacterium
Lineage: Bacteria
Description: partial 16S ribosomal RNA
Rfam family: Bacterial small subunit ribosomal RNA
Source: RNAcentral
CCUACGGGUGGCAGCAGUGGGGAAUAUUGCACAAUGGAGGCAACUCUGACCCAGCAACGCCGCGUGAGUGAUGAAGGUCUUCGGAUUGUAAAGUUCUUUUCUAGGGGAAGAAGAAAGUGACGGUACCUUCGUAAUAAGCACCGGCUAACUCCGUGCCAGCAGCCGCGGUAAUACGGAGGAUGCAAGCGUUACUCGGAAUCACUGGGCGUAAAGAGCGCGUAGGCGGGAUAGCAAGUCAGAUGUGAAAUCCUAUGGCUUAACCAUAGAACUGCAUUUGAAACUGUUAUGCUAGAGUAUGGGAGAGGUAGGUGGAAGUCGUGGUGUAGGGGUAAAAUGCGUAGAGAGCAAGAGGAAUACUCAUGGCGAAGGCGACCUGCUAGAACAUAACUGACGCUGAGGCGCGAAAGCGUGGGGAGCAAACAGGAUUAGAUACCCGAGUAGUC